GUUAUUAUCAUUACUAAAAACAGCUAGUGGUUAAGAUAUAGGGCGCACCUGCAAUUGACUAAAAAAUCUCUUCUAAAUCUUUCCCCUGCUCUGCAUAAGAAAAAAAAAAUACAAAUAUAAGUUAUGUCUGCAGAAAUUGAAGAUAAGUCUGCAGCAAUAACAAGGAUCCAUCAAGUCUGUAGAAAUAUGAAUUAUGAUACAGGUAGGCAUCUUAUGGUAUAUAAGAAAGUGAAAACAGAGCAUAUUAGCUAUGCGCAGGAUGACAGUUACCAAUGAGCAGAGUAUAUAAGAAUUUUACUGGAGUGAACCUGUCAUUGUUCUUAUCCUGCACUACCACUAUCAUUGAUCAUAGUCAGCAAGGAUUACAGUUGCCAAACAAGAAUAAUAAUGCCCAUUUUAAACGGUCAUGCAUGUAUCCAUUACUUUGCUGAACUUGAUAGCUAGAUAAUGAUUCCUUUACAUCAACUUUUUAUCAACUAAAAUAUUAAGAUAAGAGAAUUAAUAAAACUAAAAUGAGAAAUUUGAAUACAUAAAUGCUACUGUGCACAUAUGCCAAAGACCCCCCAAAAUUCUCUCCUGUAUUUCCGAAAGGCUCUAACAUUUCUCAAGAGGUUACACCAAAGUGCAAUGAAUACAUAUAACUAACAGCCUUUGUGAAAUAUAUAGGUAGUCUCAUAUUCCUCAUAUUUUGUUUCUUAAUUAUCUAUCUAAAAUGAAACCCCCCAUUAAUUAUCUGUAAAUUAUGUAACUAAUUUGGGGAAAUCUAUGCUCAUGUGCAAUAGUUUUAGAAACCACACAUCAGAGGUUAUAAAAAAAAUCAGAAAUUAUCUCAUUUAAUCAUCUGCAUAAUAAUCAAAAUUUCUCAAAUUCGCAUCUAUAACAGUUGUACUGCAUUUCGAUUUGGAUAAAAAUGAAGAAAUACUAGUUGGAAGUUUACCAUUCUAAAACCACACACCACAACGUUUCAUCCUCUUCUAACAUGUUGAAGGCUAUCGCAGUAUCAUUGUACAUAUAUUCACACUAAGAAUUUGAGGAUAGCCAAUUGCCGCGUACUCAAGAGUAAUUUGGGGAAAGAGAGUGACAGAGCCAUGAAUUUGCUAUCAAAAUCAGAGCAUCAAUCCACGUCCGAUUUCAGUUGCUUUGCUAUUUCUAUUUAUCAAAAUCAAGGAAUUGAAUUUACCUGGAUUCAAGUACAAUGAUUUGUGAGAGAGCAACUCCAGGGAGAGAGCAGCAGCAACGAGCGAUAGAUUUGUGAGAGAAGUGAAUUUGUGAAUUUGUGAGAGAGGGAUUUUGGGAUGUGAAUUGAUGAAUCGAGGAGAGAAGUGAGAGAAAAUGGAAAUGACGAAGUGAGAGAGUGUGAGGAGUAACAAGAGUGAGGAGUA
RNAcentral lists this long non-coding RNA (1382 nucleotides) under Salvia miltiorrhiza (redroot sage). RNAcentral's name for it is "long non-coding RNA (SMIL_LNC002806)". The record is from RNAcentral. Lineage: Eukaryota; Viridiplantae; Streptophyta; Magnoliopsida; Lamiales; Lamiaceae.